AGUUGUAUCCUGGCUCAGGAUGAACGCUAGCGGUAUGCCUAACACAUGCAAGUCGUACGAGGGUUUCAUACCCAAGUGGCGGACGGGUGAGUAACACGUGAGAAUUUGCCCUAAGGAGGGGGAUAACAACUGGAAACGGUUGCUAAAACCCCAUAUGCUUCCGAGUGAAAUAGAUUUAUCUGCCUUAGGAGAAGCUCGCGGCUGAUUAGCUAGUUGGUAAGGUAAUGGCUUACCAAGGCGACGAUCAGUAUCUGGUUUGAGAGGACGAUCAGACACACUGGAACUGAGACACGGUCCAGACUCCUACGGGAGGCAGCAGUGGGGAAUUUUCCGCAAUGGGCGAAAGCCUGACGGAGCAAUACCGCGUGAAGGAAGACGGCCUAUGGGUUGUAAACUUCUUUUUUCAGGGAGGAACUCAAUGACGUGUACCUGAAGAAUAAGCAUCGGCUAACUCCGUGCCAGCAGCCGCGGUAAGACGGAGGAUGCAAGUGUUAUCCGGAAUCACUGGGCGUAAAGCGUCUGUAGGUGGUUUAAUAAGUCGACUGUUAAAUCUUGAGGCUUAACCUCAAAAUCGCAUUCGAAACUAUUAGACUUGAGUAUAGUAGAGGUAAAGGGAAUUCCCAGUGGAGCGGUGAAAUGCGUAGAUAUUGGAAAGAACACCGAUGGC
This 667-nucleotide ribosomal RNA is filed under the name uncultured bacterium. Its description in RNAcentral is "bacterial SSU rRNA". It matches the Rfam family "Bacterial small subunit ribosomal RNA", at positions 10 to 716 of the family's 1533-position model. The record is from RNAcentral.